CUCCGCUCCGUUCCACUUGUGUUUUCCGUCGCGCGGCCGUGCUCUGAUCUGAGCCGAGUAGUUUAUUUUCCGUGUCCUCUCCGCUAAUCGGAAUUGCAUGCGAUUCGCAAUUCCACGUAUUACCCGUGCGUUUGCACGCGCCAAGCGUUGCUCGUCAUCGGCCUUCUUAAUGUACGGGAAAGAAGUCGAGAAGCGGAGAGGCUCCGCGAGCGUCUUCUACGUGGUGUUGGUGUCCUAGUGCUCGCGCGCCAACGGGACUCUGGGCGGUUACGUCACGUACGAAGCAUUUUUACACGAUCAGCCUUACUCUGUUAAAAAAAUGGAAUUACGGUUGCAUUCUCCGGCUGGAGCUGAACCCAUUAUCUAUCAGUGGCCUCUUACCUCUGGGUCAGGAUCAGAUCGACACGAUGGAGCCGUUGAUGUUGUGGAAACAAUGCGAUGGGUUUGCGAGGAUCUACCCGACUUGAAAAUUCCUCUGGAAAAUAAUAUUCUCUGUAACUAUGAUAUGCAUAAUUUUGAGAGCAUGAAAAAUUUAUGCGACAAAUUUAACAGAGCUAUCGAUAGUCGGGUUCAGUUGGAAAAAGGUACUAGUCUGCCAAUGCAACGACUGAAUAAAAGACCUAGCAGAGGCCUGCUUCGUCAUGUACUUCAGCAGACGUAUAAUCAAGCGGUAGUGGAGCCAGACAAAUUAAAUCAGUAUGAACCCUUUUCGCCAGAAGUCUAUGGAGAAACGAGUUAUGAACUUGUCUGCCAAAUGAUUGAUCAAAUUGAUGUUACCGACGACGACGUAUUUGUUGACCUAGGUUCUGGAGUUGGUCAGGUAGUUCUUCAAAUGGCUGCUGCUACCGCAUGUAAAAUUUGCAUUGGUGUCGAAAGAGCCGAUGUACCAUCCAAAUAUGCACAGAGCAUGGAGUAUAAUUUUCGCAAGUGGUUAAGCUGGUAUGGUAAGCGAUGCGGAGAGUAUCGGUUGGUUAAAGGAGACUUUCUUGCUGAUGAACACCGUGAGAGUAUAACAGGAGCCACAAUAGUUUUUGUAAACAAUUUUGCUUUUGGUCCGACUGUAGAUCACCAGUUAAAAGAGCGGUUCGCUGACUUGAGAGAUGGAGCAAGGAUUGUUUCAUCAAAGUCUUUUUGCCCGUUAAACUUUCGCAUUACCGAUCGUAAUCUUAGUGAUAUAGGAACAAUAAUGCAUGUGUCAGAGAUGUCACCCUUGAAAGGAUCUGUGUCAUGGACUGGUAAACCUGUGUCGUAUUAUCUCCAUGUUAUUGAUAGAACAAAACUAGAGAGAUAUUUUCAUCGACUGAAGAAUAACAAGACAGGGGCAAUUGACAUGGAACACUCUGAUUCUGUGAUAAGCAUCACUGCCAGCAAUAGUAGUAGAACAUCAAGUAGAGGUGGUGAGAGGGGUGACAGAGCCAAAAGAGAUCUUUCUAGGCAACUUGACAGCCCUAAUCACUCUGAACAGUUAGGUACAAACAGUGAUUCUGAUUUAGAAGAAAAUAGUAUAAAGAAUCGCCGACAGCCUUCUAAGCUUGGUAGAAAAUUAAAUCGAAAAGCCACCAAUGGAGUCUCCAGGCCUCCACCAAGAGGUCGACAAAGAGGUAGAGGCGUAAAGAAAACUAAACCUAAAAAGGCUAUCAAUAUUUCGGGAUUAGAUUUACUACACAGCCAAACACUGCUUAGUACAUCGCCUCAAGCACUUGGAAAAAAACCACCUCCGGCACCUGGAUGUGUCGAUCAACACCUUUCUUCCCUUUCUCUUGCUCUUCAGCCACAUUCUACCUCUGUUCAUGAAGAACUCAGUAUACCUGCAGCCCCUUCUGCCACCCCUUAUGCUCUUCAGAUUCUUCUCGAUCUUUAUAGGGACCAAUUUAUGGCAAUGUUAGAAUCGAUGAGAACACCAACAUACCGAGUAUCAGUAAAUACAGACAUUGCGAAAGAACGAGAAAGAAAUUCAAAACUGCAAUCAAGAGCUGCACAGCUUGAAAAACAGAUAAAAGUAUUGAUUGAUGACAGCGUAGCAUUAUUAAAAGCUCGGAUGACAGAAUUAGGAAUAAAUGCUACAUCACCUGGUGAUUUGUUAGCUAAGGCCAAGGAGAUUGUCAUGAGACAUAAGCAAUUACAAGCCAAAGCGAGUAAGCUUCAAGCCCAAGUGUCAUCUAUGGAGGCUGAACAGUCUAGACUCACAGCUAUAAGGCAUCAGGAGCUGCAAGAAAAGUACAAUAAUCAUACCAACACCAAUAGUGUUUCAAAUCCACCACAAUCUCUCACGCAAGACUAUAUUUUGAAAGAAAUUUCAACCACAUUAUCGCAGCGCAAGAGGCUGCAUUCCCAGGUGUCAAAACUACAACAUGAAUUGAGUGUGCUAGAGCGUGCGAGUAAUGAGAAACCAUCAGCACCGAUAAUUCAACAGCAGCAGCGAGAAGUGGUUGGAUCCAAACAUCAACAAAAUCAGCACGAACCACUACAAAACAAGACUGGAUCAUCACGGAAAAGUAGAGAAGGACGAUCUAGGUCCCAGGAAUGGCCUGAUGUUCCUGAUAUAGCGAAGAUUCAGGAGAAUAAUCCUGAAAUUUUAGCCCAAAAAAUCUUAGAAACAGGGAGACAAAUAGAAGCUGGUAGAAUACCAAAUAGACCAAGUACAACUACAGCACCCACUGCCAGGGCAAGACUGCCUCAAGCUACUCUCAGCUUCUCUUCUCCCUCUGCUUCCAUGCAAUCUCAAGUUAAUGUCAGAGAUUCGUGUAACAAAGCCCAAGAACCUCCGAGAGUAGCUAAUUUUGAAGAUAGAUUGAAAAGUAUCAUUACAAGUGUUCUAAACGAGGAUCAGCAGAAUAGAAGUAAACAGUUACAGCUUCAAGUACAACAGAUGCAGCAGCAAGCUGAGCCAGAGAGAAAACGUGUUGCACUGCCACAGAAUGUCACUACUCCUGAUUACACACAGGUUUCUCCGGCAAAGUUGGCACUUCGAAGACAUCUGUCUCAGGAGCGACUGUCCUCUCAUUUAACCACAUCAGAAAGAUCUGUGAUCGAUACUCGACAAUCUACACACGAUGAUCGAAUCACCAGAGGAACAGGAGUAGGAAAUGGAGGUACAACUGGCGGAGGGGGAGGAGGAGGAGCCGGAGGAGGAGGUGGUGGCGGCAGCAAUGGAGGGGCUGGUGGAGGAAUGCUUGGCACACGGACAAUUGGCGAUCUAGUGAGUGGAGAGAUUGAGCGAACACUUGAGAUAUCAAAUCAAACUAUUAUUAAUGCUGCGGUCGACAUGAGCGUUAUGGCCCGAGCAGAAGCAGUCUAUUCUCCAAUUAGUAGACCCGCAAGUGCCGAAGGUGAUGCAGGACUAGCAACUUUGGCACAUGUUGCCAGCUACGCUCCUACUCCGACUCCAACUACUAGUUCUACCUCUAUUACUGCCACACGGUCAUCCGUAUUAUACACCCCCACCACGCAACCUCAGAGGUAUACGCCAGUCCAGCUUCCCAGAGCAGAUAUCAAGCCUUACCAUGAGUCUUACUUUACUGACAAUCCAUCCCAAGUCCCCACACAGUCACACCCUUCUCUCCCAAUCCAAUCGUCUCAAGCAGCUACCAAUGGAGAAUUGCUGCCUGUGGAGGGGUUGGCUGCUUCUCUGCAUGCGCGGAUACUGAAUAACCACAAUACCACCACUAGUAGUGUUAAAAGUGAACCAACUGUUGUUAGCAGUCGAAGUAGGUAUCAACCUUACCCACGUUACGCAAGUGGAAAUAGCAGUAGUAAUGGCAGCGCUGCACUGUCGCAGUCACAUUCGGUAGUAUCGAUCAAAACUGAAACACCAAUUUCAUCUGUAAGCACAAGUGGUGCUCCUCUGAGCCCGUUGUUGGAACCUCAUUCUAAUACGUCUACACCUCUGGUUGAUGAACCACAAAUGACAACACAGAGGCAAAGAAAUGCAGCAGGGGAUGAUGAUGCACUGUAGCUGUAUGUUGGUUAGCUCUGUCUGUCACACACUCGAUCUCACUCACAACCCCUGAAGCUUGUUUUGUUAGAGAUUGAGACGCACAGAACAGAGGGAGAAAUCAGAAAGAAUGGCUGCCUUUGGGUUGGUGCGUGGUCACCGAUGGAGAAGCUGAUUGGCAGGACCGAAUCACCUCAGGGUUCGACAGAUUGGUUGCAUUCGCCUCC
RNAcentral lists this unclassified non-coding RNA (4161 nucleotides) under Neodiprion pinetum (white pine sawfly). RNAcentral describes it as "histone-lysine N-methyltransferase, H3 lysine-79 specific, transcript variant X4". Lineage: Eukaryota; Metazoa; Arthropoda; Insecta; Hymenoptera; Diprionidae. The record is from RNAcentral.